RNAcentral lists this transfer RNA (85 nucleotides) under Actinomycetota bacterium. Its description in RNAcentral is "tRNA-Leu". It matches the Rfam family "tRNA". Rfam says of the family: Transfer RNA (tRNA) molecules are approximately 80 nucleotides in length. The record is from RNAcentral. Lineage: Bacteria; Bacillati; Actinomycetota.
GCUCCGGUGGCGGAACCUGGCAUACGCACCCGGUCCAAACCCGGGCGGCCGAAAGGCCAUGAGAGUUCGAAUCUCUCCCGGAGCA